RNAcentral lists this ribosomal RNA (492 nucleotides) under uncultured bacterium. RNAcentral describes it as "partial 16S ribosomal RNA". It matches the Rfam family "Bacterial small subunit ribosomal RNA", at positions 28 to 507 of the family's 1533-position model. The record is from RNAcentral.
GGUGAACGCUGGCGGUAGGCCUAACACAUGCGAGUCGAACGGCAGCACAGUAAGAGCUUGCUCUUACGGGUGGCGAGUGGCGGACGGGUGAGGAAUACAUCGGAAUCUACUUUUUCGUGGGGGAUAACGUAGGGAAACUUACGCUAAUACCGCAUACGACCUACGGGUGAAAGCAGGGGAUCUUCGGACCUUGCGCGAUUGAAUGAGCCGAUGUCGGAUUAGCUAGUUGGCGGGGUAAAGGCCCACCAAGGCGACGAUCCGUAGCUGGACUGAGAGGAUGAUCAGCCACACUGGAACUGAGACACGGUCCAGACUCCUACGGGAGGCAGCAGUGGGGAAUAUUGGACAAUGGGCGCAAGCCUGAUCCAGCCAUACCGCGUGGGUGAAGAAGGCCUUCGGGUUGUAAAGCCCUUUUGUUGGGAAAGAAAAGCAGCAGGUUAAUACCCCGCUGUUCUGACGGUACCCAAAGAAUAAGCACCGGCUAACUUCGUG